GUCUAUGGCCACGCCGCCCUGAACGUGCCUGACUUUGUCUGAUCUUGGAAGUUAAGCAGAAUCAGGCUUGGUUAGUACUUGGAUGGGAGACCACCUCAGAAUUCCAGGUGCUGUAGGCA
Pteropus vampyrus (large flying fox) is the source of this 119-nucleotide ribosomal RNA. Lineage: Eukaryota; Metazoa; Chordata; Mammalia; Chiroptera; Pteropodidae. The record is from Ensembl.